This 327-nucleotide RNase P RNA is filed under the name Flavobacterium glycines. RNAcentral describes it as "RNase P RNA component class A". It matches the Rfam family "Bacterial RNase P class A". From Rfam's summary of the family: Ribonuclease P (RNase P) is a ubiquitous endoribonuclease, found in archaea, bacteria and eukarya as well as chloroplasts and mitochondria. Its best characterised activity is the generation of mature 5'-ends of tRNAs by cleaving the 5'-leader elements of precursor-tRNAs. The record is from RNAcentral. Lineage: Bacteria; Pseudomonadati; Bacteroidota; Flavobacteriia; Flavobacteriales; Flavobacteriaceae.
ACCACAGACCGCCUUAUCGCUGUCUCGUCUUUUGGGACGAGAGAGAGGAAAGUCCGGACACCAUAGAGAGGCAUAGCGGGUAACACCCGUCAUCUCGUUUUUCGGGACGGGAUAGGACAAGUGCAACAGAAAGUAUGUACAGAUAAUGCUGUAGUGAAACCAGGUAAACUCUAUGCGGUGAAAUACCAAGUAUAUCAGCAUUUAAGGGUUUCUCGUCCGUUGCUGAAGGGUAGGUAGCUUGAUCUUGUUGGUAACAAUAAGGCUAGAUAAAUGAUAAGGGUUCCGUUCAUCGGAAUACAGAAUCCGGCUUAUAGGUCUGUUUUUUUU